This 269-nucleotide ribosomal RNA is filed under the name uncultured bacterium. Its description in RNAcentral is "partial 16S ribosomal RNA". It matches the Rfam family "Bacterial small subunit ribosomal RNA", at positions 524 to 776 of the family's 1533-position model. The record is from RNAcentral.
UACAGAGGUCUCAAGCGUUUGGUUCGGAAUUCAUUGGGCGUAAAGGGGUGCGUAGGCGGCGACCGGGUAAGUCGGGGUGUUGAAAAUCUCGGUAGCUUAACUCCGAAACUGCAUUACGAUACUGCCGUGCUUGAGGACUGGAGAGGAGACUGGAAUUUACGGUGUAGCGGUGAAAUGCGUAGUAUAUCGUAAGGAAGACCAGUGGCGAAGGCGGGAUCUCUGGGACAAGUUCCUGACGCUGAGGCACGAAGGUCAGGGGAGCAAACGGG